Molecule: ribosomal RNA, 253 nt
Filed under: uncultured bacterium
Lineage: Bacteria
Description: partial 16S ribosomal RNA
Rfam family: Bacterial small subunit ribosomal RNA
Source: RNAcentral
UACGUAGGUGGCAAGCGUUGUCCGGAUUUACUGGGCGUAAAGGGCGUGCAGGCGGUUUGUUAAGUUCAGGGUGAAAGCUCCCGGCUCAACUGGGAGAGGUCCUUGGAUACUGGCAGACUUGAGGAGGGUAGAGGAGAGUGGAAUUCCCGGUGUAGUGGUGAUAUGCGUAGAUAUCAGGAGGAACACCGGUGGCGAAGGCGGGUCUCUGGGCCGAUACUGACGCUGAGGAGCGAAAGCGUGGGGAGCGAACAGG